Long non-coding RNA from Pezoporus flaviventris, 662 nucleotides. RefSeq lists it as uncharacterized. The record is from RefSeq and is a predicted model, not a curated record. The transcript has 4 exons. Lineage: Eukaryota; Metazoa; Chordata; Aves; Psittaciformes; Psittacidae.
UGGGCUUCUGCCCAGAAGGACCCAACUGCACAUUCAUGCACCUCAAGGCUGGGCUGAUGAUGAGCAGCACAGACCCAUCCAAGGGAGCUGGCUGUCCUUGGGGGCUGGUACAGCUGGACCUGACUCCCAGCAAGGAGACUGGACACAAGGAUGAGCUGCCCAUGGAACCCCCUCUACCAGGCACUGGAGCUACCCAGCACCCAGCCAUGGGACACCAAUAGCUGCUCCCCGGGCACACAGACCCUGCCUGAACAAGGCACUGGCUUAAAGUGCAGGCAGAAAGGUCACAGCUCCAGUAACUGUGGGAAGACACAGCUGGAAAUCCUGCUGGGGAAGUGACUCGAGUGCUUCAGCAUGGACAUGGAAGGAUACAGCAGAGCAGGAUGGAGCCAGCGAGGCAGCUGCUGGACUAGAAAAGCCAGUUUGGCUUGGUUUUGCCCAGCACCAGCUCCCACAAGCAGCAGAGAAAUCACAGCUUCCUUAAUGCAACUAAACCUGGGCCCUUCACAGCUGCCCCAUGCCCUCCUGCACAGGCAGCCACAGGUUUGAUGGGAGUGGGGCCCUGGCAGAUGGGGGUGUGGGGAUGCCAACCCCUGGGAAGGGGGCAAAAGCACCACGUUUGAGAACACACAGGAGCAAGCAGGCAAGGCAAAGCCACACAA